RNAcentral lists this ribosomal RNA (253 nucleotides) under uncultured bacterium. RNAcentral's name for it is "partial 16S ribosomal RNA". It matches the Rfam family "Bacterial small subunit ribosomal RNA", at positions 524 to 776 of the family's 1533-position model. The record is from RNAcentral.
UACGGAGAGUGCAAACGUUGUUCGGAUUCACUGGGCGUAAAGGGCACGUAGGCGGCUCGGCAAAUCAGUCGUGGAAUCCCGUCGCUUACCGGCGGAACGGCGGCUGAAAAUACCGGGCUUGAGGGCGUGAGGGGUCACUGGAACUCUUGGUGAAGCGGUGAAAUGCGUAGAUAUCAAGAGGAACGCCGGGGGCGAAAGCGAGUGACUGGCGCGUUCCUGACGCUGAGGUGCGAAAGCUAGGGGAGCAAACAGG